UUAACCAUUAGUUUACUAUUGGAGCGGUUAGUGGCGGACUGGUGAGUAACACGUAAGCAACCUGCCUAUCAGAGGGGAACAACAGUUAGAAAUGACUGCUAAUACCGCAUAUACCUUAGAAUCACAUGGUUCAAAAGGGAAAGGAGCAAUCCGCUGAUAGAUGGGCUUGCGUCUGAUUAGCUAGUUGGUGGGGUAACGGCCUACCAAGGCGACGAUCAGUAACCGAACUGAGAGGUUGAACGGCCACAUUGGGACUGAGAUACGGCCCAGACUCC
RNAcentral lists this ribosomal RNA (275 nucleotides) under uncultured Oscillospiraceae bacterium. Its description in RNAcentral is "partial 16S ribosomal RNA". It matches the Rfam family "Bacterial small subunit ribosomal RNA", at positions 68 to 339 of the family's 1533-position model. The record is from RNAcentral. Lineage: Bacteria; Bacillati; Bacillota; Clostridia; Eubacteriales; Oscillospiraceae.